Molecule: ribosomal RNA, 396 nt
Filed under: uncultured bacterium
Lineage: Bacteria
Description: partial 16S ribosomal RNA
Rfam family: Bacterial small subunit ribosomal RNA
Source: RNAcentral
AUACGUAGGUGGCAAGCGUUGUCCGGAAUUACUGGGUGUAAAGGGAGCGCAGGCGGGCGGGCAAGUCAGCUGUGAAAUCCAUGGGCUUAACCCGGGGGCUGCAGUUGAAACUGUAUGUCUUGAGUGAAGUAGAGGUAGGCGGAAUUCCGAGUGGAGCGGGAAAAUGCGUAGAUAUUCGGAGGAACACCGGUGGCGAAGGCGGCCUACUGGGCUUUAACUGACGCUGAGGCUCGAAAGUGUGGGGAGCAAACAGGAUUAGAUACCCUGGUAGUCCACACUGUAAACGAUGAUUGCUAGGUGUGGGGGGUCUGACCCCUUCCGUGCCGCAGUUAACGCAAUAAGCAAUCCACCUGGGGAGUACGGCCGCAAGGCUAAAACUCAAAUGAAUUGACGGGG